GGAUUACCUCCCAUUUAAUUUGUUUAAAGGCUUGCUGUUGCUCAGGGCUCCACAAAAAAUCAUUCUUUUGUGUUACCUGAUGGAAAGGUCUUACAAUAAGACUAUAAUCUGGGAUAUGCAUUCUCCAGAAACCCAUAACACCGAGGAAACAUUGGGUUUCCCUUGUUCUCUUUGGUGAGGACACAGCAGUGGAUUUCUGACUGUGCUGCUUGCUGCAUUGCCCAGAAAUGGAAGAGAGUUCUCCUCAAACACCUGGAAUUGGAAAUCACGCGGGGAGUACUGGAGACUUCUGGGAAUUGCAGUCUGUCUCUUCUUAGCACAUUUUCUUCUCAGAGAGCCAUAACCAAUCACAAACACAGACAGGUCUGGAGCAAUGAGAAGAGUAUGCACGUAGCUAAGCUGGCAACUAGGAAGCGAUGGUGUCUUCUCACAGGGAACUGGGAUAAGCCAUGGAGAUCAGCACCCUCUGCAGCUGGAUCAACUGCAGACCGAGCCCAGCAGACAUUAUCAAAGCUAUAAACCCCUAGCAGCAGCCUGAGAGACAACUAUUGAACUAGGCCAAAAUUAACUAGUAAAAGCCUUCCAAAUAAUCUUCAGUAUAAAGUUUGGACAAGAUUUAUUUCAAGUGGUCCAUCCCUAAACUAGCUUGCUGAAGAAAGAAGAAUUCUGAAAGCUUCCUACUUUAAUUUGUUUAUUCCCUGCUGUGAAUUGAUUGAAAAACCCUCCUAUUUCAUGCUGUUCGAGGUAAAAGAAAAAAAUAAAGAUUUCAACUCUUUGUCA
This 780-nucleotide long non-coding RNA is filed under the name Phasianus colchicus (ring-necked pheasant). RNAcentral's name for it is "lncRNA (ENSPCLG00000003123.1)". Lineage: Eukaryota; Metazoa; Chordata; Aves; Galliformes; Phasianidae. The record is from RNAcentral.